Molecule: long non-coding RNA, 1029 nt
Organism: Carassius carassius (crucian carp)
Lineage: Eukaryota; Metazoa; Chordata; Actinopteri; Cypriniformes; Cyprinidae
Exons: 3
Source: RefSeq, a predicted model, not a curated record
CGCUAGCGUGAGGGACGUUUUGGACACGAUGAGCGGCCAACAGGAACUGCUUGCACAAACAAUGUUAGAGAGAAUCCACACACGGCUCCAGCAUAUUGUCAGUCAGCAACACUUGACCUGGAUUACCUUGAAUUUGUGUGUUUUCAGGAGGCUGUUCUUUUUAGUGCUGCCUCUAACCAGGUUCUCAUCCCAAAAGGCAUUUUAGAUGCACUCACAGAGCUGCACAAGUUGGUUAAGAAAGAGAAAACCAGGUCCCCAUAGUAAAAAAAAAAAGAGAAAGAUGUUGUAUUUUUUUUGGUUGUUCCAACCCCACAGAUGUUUUAAGAUUGUAUUCACACUACAAUAAAAAAUAAUACAAUCUACAUGUGUUUGGUUUGAACAUUCAUUACGGCAUUAAGAGAGCUGAAAGUCUUAAAGUCCGCUGCUAGCACUGCUUGAGGAAAGCUAUGCUUCCUGCUGCCGCUGGCAGUCCUAACACGGGGCAUGUCUGCUGGUCUGAUUUGAUUAAACAGAGAAAAAUCAAACAUUAGACCACCUCACUGAUUCAGAAAUAUUUAUUUGUGUAACUGUAACAUCUUACAAACCAGUUAUUAGCAGGGGUACUGUUCUGUAAAUAAGUGUUCUUUUUGUAUUUGUGCUACAAUUGCAUUGAAUCAGGUCCUUUGCUGAGUACGUUUUACUGUAAGCCUAGUAAGUGAUGGACAUACUGUCAGUACAUGUCUGAGCCAUGUGAUUGGGAGUGUCCCAGGGGAUUUAUUGCUGCCCUUAGUGCUGCCAUUUGUUCUCAGGAACAGUGACACAUCAGGCAGGCCACUGUCCUCCCAGUCCAAAUGUAGUAGGUACAAUCCCUGAAAAGACAUGUAAAGUGUUUAUGUAGGGAAGUGGUUCUCAAACAUUUUUACAUCAAGGACCCAGACCACAUUUGAUAACAUUUUGUAACAGACUCCAGAAAUACACAAUAUUAAUUCUGAGACUGAAUAACAUUACUUUCUUUGUCAAUGUAUGUUCAAAUUAAUGUCAAUGGGAUGC